This 96-nucleotide small nuclear RNA is filed under the name Dasypus novemcinctus (nine-banded armadillo). Lineage: Eukaryota; Metazoa; Chordata; Mammalia; Cingulata; Dasypodidae. The record is from RNAcentral.
UAAAAUGAUCCUGUUUUCACUGGGCCAAUACAGAGAAAAUUAGGAUGGCCCCUAUGCAAGGAUAACAUGCAAACUUGCGAAACAUUCACUAUUUUU